Chrysemys picta bellii (western painted turtle) is the source of this 98-nucleotide non-coding RNA. Lineage: Eukaryota; Metazoa; Chordata; Testudines; Emydidae. The record is from RefSeq and is a predicted model, not a curated record.
AUCAAUUCAAGAUGUGUAUAUAGUACAUGCGAUUCUCCAGCCUUUUGUCUCUGACGAGGCGCACUGAUUGGGAUCUGCUUAUUCCACAGAUCAAAAAG